RNAcentral lists this long non-coding RNA (36950 nucleotides) under Medicago truncatula (barrel medic). RNAcentral describes it as "long non-coding RNA (MTRU_LNC000191)". The record is from RNAcentral. Lineage: Eukaryota; Viridiplantae; Streptophyta; Magnoliopsida; Fabales; Fabaceae.
AACCACCCAAACAACCCUUAAUACAAUAGAAUCACAGCAGAAAAACCUUAACCAAAUCAAGCAAAUUAAAAACAAUUACUUAGUUGAUAUUUGUAUGCCUUGUCGCGUUGAUGUUUCAGAAAUGUCUAGGUGGAGGGGAAUGGUGGUGGGGGGGAAGGGGGUGAAUGUUUAUAAGGUCGAAAUUUGACUACAGGAGGACGGUAAGGGGGUAAAUGUCCUGGGAACUGGUUGGAUGGAGGUUUGAAUAUUGGAGUGAUAUGAAAGGCAGCAUCAGCAAAAUGUUGAGGACCAAACAUAAGAGCAGCAAGGAAUACCACUAGCAAGGAUAAGAAAAAGGAUUUAGCCAUUUUAAGAAGUGAUAUUAUUAUUAGUGUUGGUGCAUAAUACAUAUGGAGUUAACUGGUUUUAUACUAAUUAGAGACUCAAAGUGAGUUUAUGGUCAAUCAAAGUCAUUUACUAAAUGUCAAAAUUGUGUAUGAAUUGAAUUAUUCAACAAUGUUACAAGGUCCAUGUAUUUGCUACUACUUGAUGAUCCUUUCAUUUUCCACACAACAAGACCAUUUAGUAUUAUUGGCUUUAUCUCUCCGCUUGUUUGCACACCAUAUGGUUGCGCUCCUUAAUUCUGAAAUAUAGAAUGAUUUUAAACUCAUUUUAGAUUCUCCAAAAAUUAAAAUCUCAUUCCUACGACAACAGAAAAUGGAAGAAACACAAGAUUGUUGGUGUAUUGGUAGCUUACAGUCUGUUGGAAAAAUUCAAUAAGCUAGUUUAUAGUUUCUUUUAAAAAGUAUAUGAGUUUAUAGUUUAUUUUAUUAAUUCCUUUUUCACAAUUGCUUACCUGUAAGAUUAAAAAGUAUAUGUUUCACAAUUGCUUUUUCAUCACAGACUUAUAGUUAUUUUAUUAAUUUAUAGCUUAUUUUUUAGAAGUUAUUUCAAAUAGUGUAUGAGCUUAUAAUUUAUUAUUUUUAUUUCACGCUUACCUUUCAUCAAAUGAUGGAACCGCUUUCCGGACCCUGCGUAUACGUGAGCUUCAGUGCACCGGGUUGUCCUUUAUUUCAUGCUUACCUUUAUUAUUUUGUCUCAAAUUUAUUUUUAUCCUUUAUAAUUUGUAAUAAAGAAAAUGCUAAAAUGUUCUAAAAAAUUGAUAAUUAAGUCAUAAAAUAUUUACAUUCUAAAAAUAUUCAUUCCAACUUUGUUUAAAGAUGCAUCUUCAUCAUCAUAUUCUUGUAAAAAAAUCAAACAGUAAAUUUCAAACGGAAAUUCUUAAAAUUCUUCAAAAAUGCUUUUAUUUGUACAAUUCUAAAGAAUUUAACCACUCCUUAAAAAAAAAAUUAACCAUGUGAUGAUCAGUACAUAUCCUUUAAUUUUACACACCAUAAAAUCAUUUAGUAUUAUUGGUACUAUAACAAGGUAAUGAGUGGAAGUUAUUUGCUACUAAUAUUCUUGAAUUAAGAUUUAGAAAAACCGUACUCCAAGAGCAUGAUAAAUUUUGCAAAUCUAUUCAAAAAAGAGUAUUGACGAGUUUUACAUUUACACGCUCCUUGAACAUUCAUCAAUAUAUCAUCAACAAAACCAAUAUGUAAAUACUACUCCGUCCCUAAAUAUAUAGGAGUCUUUUGUAAAAAUUACGGAGAUUAAGAAAGUUAGUUUUAGUAUUAAAUUUGAAUAUAAUUACUAUUGUUUUUACGAUUUUAUCCUUAAGAGAGAGUUAAUUUAUGUUUUCAACAUAAUAUUUAUUUUUGAUUGAAGAAAAAGAUGCAAAAUAAAUAAAGGUAUGUUACUAAAUAAAUAAUUAAUGUACUAGGGACGGAGGUAGUAUUAGAUAAGGAACAUGAAUAUUUGGGAGGAAAAAUUCUUUGCAUAAGAGGAUCGUCUUAAACAACAAACUGAAAUUAAAAAUACUUGCAAUUGCGGAAGUCUUAAACAACAAACUGAAAUCAUAUCACGAAUAUUAUUAAGUUAUGGACCAAUUUGUAUGCAACAGUUAACCACCAACUACUGCAAGAAAAUAUCAUAUUAGCUACCAAAAUCUAGCUACGGUCUAUUGCUCUAGUUAAUUUGUCUUUAAUUAGCUUUGCUCUUACUACAAGUGAAGUUUGCUAGCUGAUGCUUACACUUGUUCGUUUUUUUUUUUUUUUUGAUUGUACCCAAAUAAAACUAUUUAGCAUCACUGCAAAUGCAUUUUUUUUCAAUUCUUUUGUUUAUGCAAUUUAGAUUCACUCUUGUGGAAUCUAUAAUGUGGACUCUAUAAUAUAUAUUGUUGAUGUUAAUAUUUUUAAAAUUUUAUUUUCAAAUGAGCGUUCAAAUAUACUGAUGCUAAAAUUUUGUAAAUUUUAAUUCUACAAAAAGCAUGCAUGAAUACUUAUGCAAAAAAAAUUACUCAUUUUUUUCUUUAUUUAUUUUGACAAAAUUUCAUUUUCCCCCAUUUAUCUUCUUUCCCACAAUUUUUUUAACACUUCCCGAAAUCUUUUUCCCACUAAUAUUUUAUUUUCCUUUUUCUUUUUACAACAAUUCAUUUCCUCAUCGAACAAAAAGGGAAAACUCAAGAUGUGAAAAAUCAAUAUGAGAAAGCCAUUUUCUCAAUGUGAGUUUAUGGUCAAUAUAAGUCAUUUACUAAAUUCAACAAUGCUACACUCAUAGGUACCAUGUAGUAUUUGCUAGUUAUUGAUGAUCAGUAGCUAUCCUUUCAUUUUCCACACAACAAGACCAUUUAGUAUUAUUGGCUUUAUCUCUCCACUUGUUUGUGCACCAUGGUUGCACUCAUUAAUUCUGAAUUAUUAUAGAAUGAUUUUAAACUCAUUUUAGGUCCUCCAAAAAUUAAAAUACUCAUUCCUACGACAACACAAAAUGCAAGAAACACAAGAUUGUUGGUGUAUUAUAAGCCUGUAAGAUUAUACCGUAUAUGUUUCACAAUUGCUUUUUCAUCACAAGUUUAUAGUUUAUUUUAUUUGAAGUUAUUACAAAUAGUGUAUGAGCUUAUAAUUUUUUUUUUUUAUUUCAUGCUUACCUUUAUUAUUUUGUUUCAAAUUUAUUUUUAUCCUUUAUAAUUUGAAAUAAAGAAAAUACUAAAAUGUUCUAAAAAAUUGAUGAUUAAGUCAUAAAAUAUUUACAUUCUAAAAAUAUUAAUUCCAACUUUGUUUAAAGAUGCAUCUUCAUCAUCAUAUUCUUGUAAAAAAAAUCAAACAGUAAAUUUUAAAUUGAAAUUCUUAAAAUUCUUCAAAAAUGCCUUUAAUUUUCCACACCACAAAACCAUUUAGUAUUAUUGGUGCUAUGAAAAGGUAAUGAGUGGAAGUUAUUUGCUACUAAUAUUCUUGAAUAGAUUUAGCAAAACCGUACUCCAAGAGCAUGAUAAAUUUUGCAGACGGUGAAAAUUUAUUGUGACAAUAAACUAUUUAAAAAAGAGUAUUGACGAGUUUAACAUUUACACUGUAUAAACCCAAAUAUGCAAAAACCCAUAUACUUCUUGAACAUAUCAAGAAAACCAAGAUGUAAAUAUUAGAUAAGGAACAUAAAUACGUCGGAUGAAAAUUUCUUUGCAUAAGUGGAUCGUAAUAAAAAUUAACAAUAAGUUCUUAAAUACAUGCUUCUGAAAGUCUGAAAUACAAUAAAUACAAUAUGCUCUUAAAUUAACAAUAUCAUAGAAAGUCUGAAACUAAAAAUUGCGGAAGUCUUAAACAACAAACUGAAAUCAUAUCAGAAAUAUUAAGUUAUGGAACCAAUUUGUAUGUAAUAGUGAACCACCAACCAUUACAAGAAAAUAUCAUAUUAGCUACCAAAAUCUAGCUACGGUCUAUUGCUCUAGUUAAUUUGUCUUUAAUUAACUUUGCUCUUACUGCAAGUGCAAUUUGACUGGCUGAUGCUUACACUUGUUCGUUAUUGUAUAAAAAAAUUAAAACAAAUUGUAAUGUCUUCUGAUGCCUUUUGGAUCUUCAUUGAUGGUAUUUCCUAGUUCUUCACAAGUCUUUAAGAUGUUCUGCUUUGCGUAUUUGCAUAAUUUCUUCUUGAAUUAUAUAAAAACUAGAAUUACAUGAGUCAAACAGAAAACAUUACAAAUAUCCCAAAAACCAUAGGAAAUUGUUCUAAUACUCCAUUCUGGAUUAAAACUAAUUGAAAAUGACUGGAAAAACAUGCCAAGAAUAACGUAAGAUGAUAUGUUAUCACAACCUCAAACUUAAACUGUUGUUUGUCGGCAAGUAACGAACGAAAAUAAAUUUUAAUUUUGCAUAUUUUUCAAGAAAAACAUAUCUUUUCAAAGAGGUUGCUCAGAUCGUCUUCUCGUCUCAUUUACAGACUUGACUAACUUACACCUUCCAUGAAAGCGCGACAGAAUUAGAGAAUAUAGCCCAUACUCUCAACCACACUCUUAUCCAUGAUACAUGCAUGUAUCACACAAACUCGGUAGGGUUGGUCACGAUAUUUGUCCACUCUAGUCGUCACAUGAAUGUAUCUUGAUGUAAAUUUGAGAGAACUCUAAACAGACAGUCAAGAUCAUACUAUAUACAAAGUAUUAGUUCUUUCAAGGUUAUAACGUAUCUUAGGUUAAGGUGAGAUAUAUUAGAAAAGUAGGCUAACAAAACAACUUGAAGUUAGAUUAUCAACCUGAGGUUUCCUACUAAACAUUGAAGUACUACUAACAUUCCUUCCUUAAACCAAACAAGAUGGGUAUUAAAUAGAACUAUUUAUCUUUUCCUACAUUUGUUUUAAAAGACCAAAAUAUUUGAUGUUUUUAGCUCUUGAUUUUUUCUUUUUUCUAUUUUUUUAUGUAGACCCAUGGUUAUCAACAUUUUUUCAUUUUUUUUCUUUGUGAUAUAAAUAAGUUCUCUGGUAGCCCUUCCUCAAAAAGAAAUCCAAGUUUAGUUUCAAAUCAUACCAAAUUAUUAAAAAUAUUAUAUCUAACUCCAAGAGAAAUCAAAUAGAUGACUUUAAGGAUCAAAACACCCACAACGAGCCGGUAAUAACACAACGCCUAAAACUGAAAAAAAACAAUGCGUCGAAACUCGUUAAGACAACCGUUAGUCUAAUUGGCUAUAUAAGCCUUAAGGUACUAUUAGACAUAACAAUUCUUUCUUAAUAAAUAUUAUUUUCAUUUCACUUUUUCUAUAUUUUGUUUUCAUUUAUGAGUUCCAUCAAGAAUUGUGAUAAUGUGUCACUUGAAAAAAAGAUAGACUAAUGUCACUUAUGAGUUCUAUCAUGAAUUGUAAUAAUGUGUCACUUUUAUAUACAUAUGUUUCAGUAUGGACGGACUGAAGUCAAACACACGUUAGUACUUAGCCAAAAAGCUCGACAAAGUUUCUGGUAACAUAUUUAAUUAAAAUUCAAUAUAAAUAAAAGUGUGAAAAAGCUACUCAACCGUACAAGUUGCCUUUGCAUCCCAGUGCAACUGACACAAAUGUGGUAGCCUCGGUUAGGCUACUAAUACAAUGUGUUAGUUUACAUCAAAAUAUAUAUUCUUUUUAUCAGCAAAUAAAAUUAACAACAGUCCGAGCGCAAUAACCCGAAAGACUUACAGGUACGAGUGAGAAGGAAAAGCAUGCAGAAAACGACUUCUAUUAGUUCGACAGUUUCGUCAAAGGGUGCAGUGAAUGAAUUUGUAUGAGAUGAUGGGUUAGGGUUCUAUUGAGAAGAAUUUCUGGGUGGAGAUGAGAGGGUUCAGUGAGAAGUUGAGAUGAUGGCAUAUGGUUUGAAGGGUUCGGAGUAGAGAAGUUAAAAUUUGAAGGAUCUGUGGGUAGAUGUUUGAGAGGUUUAGGUUCGAUGAAGUGAUUUUGGUAGAAGUUGUGUUUUGGGUGCAGAAAAGAGGAGAGGGAAUGAACAAUUACUUCAGCGCCAGACGCAAAAUUUUGCGGUUUAUUUUUUUUUUUUUUAUUUAACUUUUUUUUUUUUUAAUUUGGUAUGCCGUAUGUGCAAAGAUAGCCCUUCCCCAUUAAACGCUAACAAAUCAUUUACACCAAUAUUAGCGUUCACUAGAAAACGCUAUCACACUCUUAUCAUCACACACCUUUUUUUUUUAUAAUUUUUUUUAAUACCAUAUAAUAGCACUUUCUAUAAAAGGGCUAAUAUAGGUGUCACGUUAUAAUAGCAUGCGUAACGGAAGUGCUAUUAUUAAUAUUAGAGUCAAUCUUUUCAUAGCAUUUUCUCUAAAAGUGCUAUUAAAUUAGCGUUUCCGUUAUAAUAGUCCUUAUGAACAUCAAAUUAAGUUUGGUAUUUUUCAUUAUUCAUGUCGGCGAUUUUUACUAGUUUUGAUUUAAGUAAACGUUUUGAUUGACUUUAAUGACUAAAGUAACUAAGAGAAUAAAGAGUGAAGGAUUUAAUUGGCGUUUUAUUCAAGUCGUGGACCAAAAUUAAAUCUUGUUACACUUUUAAGGAGAAAAAUGGUUGUUUUUCCAAUAAUGUUUUCCAAUAUUAAAUUACAGUUGUUUUAUGCCUUAGGGAUGUUACACUUAAUUGAUAACUUAAAUAAGGUUUUUGGAGGUAAAUAAGAAAGAUGCAAAACCUCCAGCCAAGCCAAAACAACCCCGUUUCGAUUUGUGAACUUGACCAUAAUAUAUUAUACACAAGAUAUAUAAAAACAAAGCAUUGGUAACUAGUAGAUUUUUUUUUUUUAACAGCAAAGUUUAUUUAUAUGCUAACCCAACACAAGAAGUGAAGAGGCUAGAGGAAAGACGCAAGAUAAGAGAUACAUAAAGACAGACAACUAAACCAAGGCCAAAAAGGCACAACACAAACCACCUAAACAACCCUUAAUACAAUAGAAUCACAGCAGAAAAACCUUAACCAAAUCAAGCAAAAACAAUUGCUUAGUUGAUAUUGGUAUGCCUUGUCGCAUUGAUGUUUCAGAAAUGUCUAGGUGGAGGGGAAUGUUGUCUUAUAUGUGGUAAUACAGGUGGUAAUCCAUGUGGUAAACCCCUUACGAAUGGAGUCAAAUUGGUAAAUUUUUGUUCUGGGAUAGUAAUUGGAGGGAGAUUGCAAAAUGUUGAGGAGAAAACAUAAGAGCAGCAAGGAAUAACACUAAUAAGGAUAAGAAAAAGGAUUUAGCCAUUUUAAGAAGUGAUAUUAUUAUUGUGUUGGUGCAUAAUACAUAUGGAAUUAACUGGUUUUAUACUAAUUAGAGACUCAAUGUGAGUUUAUGGUCAAUCUAAGUUAUUUACUAAAUGUCAAAAUUAUGUAUGAAUUGAAUUAUUCAACAAUGUUACAACUUCCAUGUAUUUGCUACUAGUUGAUGAUCAUUAACUAUCCUUAAUUUCAUUUUCCAUACAGCAAGACCAUUUAGUAUUAUUGGCUCUAUCUUUCCACUAAUAGGUAUGUAUUUGAUAAAUUUUAUACACAUUUUUUUUAAAUAAUUAUUUUUAUUAAAUCGCCCUUAGAAAAGUAAAAAAAAAAACAGCCUUUAAUUAGCCGCUAUAGUUUUUUUUUACAAAACUAGCCAGUAUAGUUUUAUCUCUAUAGUCUAAAUACAUUAUUGUUGUCAUUUACUAAAAUUAUUGAUCUAUAACAAUAACCAUAUACGAAGAAUACCUCAAAAAAAAACAAAAAACGUACGAAGGAGAAUCAACCAUCUGGAUAAUACAUAUCCUUAUUUUAUUUAUUUGAAUUUGAAUGGCAACCACCAAAGCCACAUAUAGAAAGAAUAUUUUCCUACCAAUCGUACAUGAUGCCCAUAACAAAAGAUAGGUUCCAUAAUAUGGCCCCAUAAUAUCCUUAUCCUUAUAAUUAUGGUUCAGAAAAUAAAAAACCUCGUUAAGUUUUAGGAUUAUUUUAAGUUGAUAAAUAUUAACGAGUAUCUUCAGAGCAUUUUUUAAGCAUCUAAAGUGGUAAGAUUUUAUGAAAGUUGAGCAUUUAUUAUAUUGGAAAUUGAAGUCUUUACAUUUCUUUUAAAAAUAAUUUUUUCAUUAUAAAUGCUUAAAAGAUGCUCCAUGGACAUUCAUUAACAGGACUCUUUUAAGUUUUAGAAUGUUAGCAUUUCCCUAAGACACAUGUUAAAGAUAGAGAUAUAUUAUGGCCUCUCACGGUAGCACCCGCCUACGUAGCGAGUUUAUGGUCAAUCUAAGUCAUUUACUAAAUGUCAAAAUUGUGUAUGAAUUGAAUUAUUCAACAAUGUUACAAGCUCCAUGUAUUUGCUACUAGUUGAUGAUCACUAACUAUCCUUUCAUUUUCCAUACAACUAGACCAUUUUUUUUUAGUAUUAUUUGCUCUAUCUCUCCACUUGUUUCCACAAAUAUGAUUAAUUUUUUUCGAAAAUUUUGUUUUUUUAAAUAUGAUAUUAUGGAAAACAAAAUUCGAAAAUUUGAAUAUAUAUUAAUCUUUUCCACAAUUUUUUUAAAUAUUUCCCGAUUAUUUUUAUAAUUUUUCCAGAUUUUUUUCAUUAUUUUUUAUUUUACCAGAUUUUUUUAAUCAUUAUUAAUUUUUACAUUUUUUUUUUAAAAUUUUUCAGUAUUUUUUUUAAUCAUUAUUCGUUUUUUAAAUUUUUUUAUUUUUAUUUUAAAAAAAUCACAAAUGCCACGUGGCGUUCAUUUACACGCGUGGCAUGAAAAAAAUUAAACAAAAAAAAAUUGACACGUCACUGCCACGUAGUAGAUUCUGCCGACACAUUGAGGUGAGGGGUCAAUCCUGAAGAAUCUUCAUUUUUCAAGGGUGGAAUCUAAAAAAAAAAAAUUACAGGGGCUAAAACCAAAAGUGCAUUAUAUUACAAAGGCCAAAAACACUAUUAACACUAUAUUAUUACUUCUUCUUUUUUAUAAAAAUCCAAAUAAAAAUCAUUUGCAUUGCAGCCAAUUGGCCAAAUGCAACAUGACAAGCGCAAAAUUGCUCCAUGUUGACUUGUGAGAACUCUUGUUCUAGAUAGAGAACCUUAUAGUUUUUGUUGUCACAGAAAAUGUUAAACAACUUUUUCCAUGCAAUUUAUGCGUCUGAAUCGCGCUUGAUGAUGGUGAUGAGAAUAUAUUCUGAGGUGGUGUCAUAUAUCCAUUAUAAUACGACAACAUCAAAAAGCGGCCAAAGAUUGGGAUUGAUUUCUUUGAGAGAGGGAGUUGUUGGCUUAUUAGUGGGUGAGGGAGGAAUGAUGUGAUGAAAGACUUGAUGAACCCUUGCAUGAAUUUUAAAGAGUUCGAACCACGUAUUAUAUUGGACCCUUUUUUAUACUAAACGUAACCUUGAUGAAAUUGGUGAUAAUUGAAAAUGGUGGUAGAGGGAUGGAUAGGUGUGGAAGGAGUUGGGGUUGAAAUUGUCCUUCGAGUGGUAGUAUUUUUGGGGAUGAUUCGGCCCUGAUGGUGAAUGAAGGAGAAGAGGAACGAUGGCGCUGUAUUAGGUUUACGAGAGAAGGAUGAGUACCAAUAACUUACUGAUACCAUGUAAGAAUUAUAAUAAGAUAAUUAUUAGUCGUGUGUCAUUUGCAUUGAGAGGAUCCGUUGACACUAGGUGUCAAACUUUAGUUUGACAUCAAAUCUCAACCGUCUAUUAUGUCUAAUCUAAUGGUCUGUGAUUAUUUAUUAAAUUAACUUGUGUGAUCUUUUUCCCAUGUCUCACCUGAUCCCACGCCGGCUGUUCUGCUCCAUCUCCUUCAACUUAUCAAAGUUAAUAUGGCCAACAAUCAAAUACACACACAAAUUAAUUCUUUUAUUUUUUAAAGAAGAAGAAGCUAAAUUAGCCCACACAAAUUGGCACCGGAGAGAAUCGAUCCUGAGACCUCGAGGAGGAGCACACUCCCAGAUCCCAAGUCAAUACCACCAGACCAACCCAAAUGAUAAAUAAGGAGUUAAUUCUAAAUAAGGAGUUAUACAUAUAAUUACAUAUUGUUGACAUUAAUUGUUCUCUGUGGGGCAAGAUACUUGAGGUGUAAGUUUCAUAAGAUGCAAGUUCUUUUAAGUCUAAAUUGUCUUAUACUUACAUUAUUUUAGGUCUAAAUUUCAGAAACCAUUAUCACAAAUUUUUUGACAAUCUUAUAUCACAUACUCGUACUAUAUUUUUACUUCUCUUUUUGUUGUUUUGGUUUUUGUUUUCAUACCUAAUUUUCCUUGUAAAUAUAUAGUUGUCUCAUAAAUUAUCGUUAAAAUUGUUGUUCAAAUAACACAACUCUUAUUUCUAAUACUCAAAAUUUGUUCAAAUUAAGUUUUUAAAGAACUUCUAAUAAAAUCAGAUUAAGUUUUUUUGAACUUUCUAAAUACUUAAAUUGAAUUUUCUCGAAUAUACAUCUUGGAGAAAGAAAAAAAAUAAUUAUAGGAGGGAGAUGCAAAACUUACGUUUUCUUUCUCUAGAAACAUAUUUUGAGUUUUCAAUAUCAUCAAAAUCAUAAACUUUAUUUAUUUGCAAAUCUAGAGCACAUAUAGCACGAUUUUCUCUCAUAAUUUACAUUGAUAUAACACAUAUUAUGUUCUUACCUUGCCCAAACAUUCGGGAUUUAAUUGAUAAUGUAAAAGAUGUUUUCAAAUGUAGAAUAAGAAAGAUGGAAAACCUCCAAGCCAAAUUAUACACAAGAAUAUAAAACAAAGCAUUUACUUGGUAGAUAAUAUUUUCUUUUUAAACAGCAAAUUUUAUUCAUAAUAAGAUAACCUAACACAAGAAGUGAAGAGGCUAUAGGGGAAAGACACAAGGUAACAAUACAUAAAGACAACUAAACCAAUGCUAAAAAGCCACAUCACAAAACCACCCAAACAACCCUUAAUACAAUAUAAUUGAACCAGUUUCCAUCAACACCACAUCAAUAGACCCCUAAAUAAUUGAACAAAAACCAGCCACCUAAACUUCCUGGUACCAGUAAAUUACAAUUACUUAGUAGAUAUUGAUAUGUCUUGUUGCAUUGAUGUUUCAGAAAUGUGUGGCUGGAGGGUAAUCUUUGGGUCGUAACUUCCACAAUAUCUUCGAGCAGCGAUUGAUUUUGGGAGGUUUGAAUUUUGGCAAGGCAGCAUCAACAGCAAAAUGUUGAGGAGCAAGCAUAAAAGCAGCAAGGAAUAACACUAAUAAGGAUAAGAAAAAGGAAUUAGCCAUUUUAAGAAGUGAUAUUAUUAUUGUGUUGGUGCAUAAUACAUAGGUAGUUAACUGGCUUUAUACUAGUUAGAGACUCAAUGUGAUUUUUUGGUCAAUCUAAGUCAUUGUGUAUGAAUUCAAUCAUUCAACACGUAGGUUCCAUGCAUUUGGAAAACUAGUUGAUGAUUAAUAAUGUUCAAUAUAUUAGGCUAUGAAUUGUUUAUGAAUUGAAUUAUUGAACAAUGUUACAUGUUCCAUGUAUUUGCAACUAGUUGAUGAUUGGUAGCUACCUAUCCUUUAAUUUUCCACACAACAAGACCAUUCAGUAAUAUUGGCUCUAUAUCUCCACUUGUUUGCCCACACCGUGGUUUAGCUGAAAAAACAGUGUACUGGAGGUGGAACAUGUUUUAAUAACAUUAAUAUGUAGAUAUUAUUAUUUAUGCAUUGAACCCUGUAUUGAUAAAAAUUCCACAUAGGUUACUUUAUUUGUCAUUUAUGCUUGAAUAUAUAAAUACAAAACAGUGUUUUUUCUUAUUAAAAUAGGGGGAUUUUAGGCUAGCUUUUGUUAUUCUAAUUAUACCCUUAAAUAAAUAAAAAAUCAAAUAAUGUAAUAUUGUUGGUAUAAUUAAAAAAAUAAGAAUUUUUGUUAUAUUAUUGUUGUCAUUGAGUAAGAUAAAUAUGGUUUGUUGAGUUUGUUACAUUUGAAAGUCACAUAUAUUUAUACUUAUAAUUUUAAUCUAUAUCAAAGAGUUUAUAUAAAAUAUCGGUUGUAAUUUACACGCAAAAUUUCUAUAAAUUAUCGUAGAUAAUCUAUACACGUUAACGUAUUAAAAAGAGUAGAAAGAUGCGCAUGUGACUGCCCGUAUUUUGGUCCCUUAACUUCUCUCUCUUACACAUUUUGGUCCUUUCCAUUAGUUUAAUUCAAAAACGUUGAAUUUUCUUCAUCUUCUUCUCCUCUUUUUCAUCUUCAUAUCAUCUCCAUCAACCUUCAACAACAAGAAUCCCAAAAAAAAUUAUAGAAGAAAAUGAAGAAAACCUAACGUUUUUGAAUUAAAACUAACGGAAAUGGCCAAAAUGUGUAACAGAGAGAAGUUAUGAGACCAAAAUAAAUCGAAUUUUAAUUAAGGGAUCAAAGCGAUACUACCUAAAUAGUUAAGGGACCAAAAAUGCAAUUUAGCCUAUAAUCUAAUAUCAUCGUUAUUAAAUAUUAUUUUAUAAUCUAAUAUCAUUGUUAUUAAAUUUUAUAGCAAGUAUCAAACGAAGAACCGAGAGUUGUUGUUUGAUAUUGUUAUUUAAUCAUGUCUCGUAUAUCAAAGGAAGGAUCGAGAGGUAAAAUUUGAUAUUGGAAUAAAUGAGAUUGUAAACGAUAAGCAAAAUAUGAGAAAAAUUUUGUGACUCUUAUGACAAUAAGGUUAUAAGGUUGCACUCAAAAAGUUUUAAUGAUUAUCAACUAUGAGAAUAGGUUUAAUUACUGUUGAGAUACAUUCAUGUAAUCUGAUAGGAAACAUGAAAUAUCAAAGAACAUCUUGUCCUUAGAAACGAAUAGAGAAAUAUAUAGGGAAUGUUUAGAAUUUAACUUUAUGAUGAAAACCUCAAUCUCAUGACGCAUUUUAAUAUCUGAAUUUUAAUCUAAAAAAUCAUUGCACUUAAUCAACUUAUCUUUUUCAGCUAAUCAAGACUAAAAAUUAGAUUAGAAUUUACUUUAAGUCCAUGUGAAUCGAUAUUUUACUAGAACCGUACACUUGCAGAAACCUAUCAAAGACCCUAUUGAUGUAUAUGGAAUCGUAGUUACCUAUCAAAGCUACAAAAUUUAGAUCGGACUUGGGGGUCUUUCUAACCGUUCUUGAAGUCGUAGGGGGGUUCGUUUACCGGAUGUAGCAUCGAAGGCUUGAGUGCAGAGUUCGAAGGGGUGCACAAGUAUUCAAGGAUCCGAAGAUUCAAGAAGCACCAAAUUUAAGGGUUACUUGGAGUUUGGGGGAGUGUUUUACAUAGGAGUUGAAGAAUUAGGUUUUAAUUUCAAGGAACUCUUGUAAACACAUUGUAUUCAACAUUUGUUACAUGGUGGAUGAUCUCGGUGAAGAUGUACUUAAUCAAGAAGAGUAGAGGUAGAUCUAGAGAGGACGAGAAAGAGCAAUCUAUUAUAAAAAUAUCGGUGUGAUCUCUCUUUCCCUAUCCUCUUUACUUUUAGAUAUUGCAUGUGAUUAAUUGAAUAAUUUUUAGGAUAAUUUCUAGUGUUGAUCUAAGUUGUUUUUCAUUGAAAAUCAAUCUAAUUCAUUGAAUUAGGUUUCAUAUAAUUUGCUUAGAUCAAUUGAAUGCAAAAUCUAUUCAAUUCUUCAAUUACACAUGUAUUGUGUUUUUUAUUUGAUAACUUAGUAAUUUUGUUCAUAUAGAUUUGGUUUGAAAUUGUCUAUUGUUUUAUACAUUGUUCAAGGAAUAUUAAAGUUUGAUUGUAUAAUAACAUUUAGUAACAAGGUGAUUGCAACACUUGAAAAAUUGUUAGCUGAUAUAGUGAUAUAGUAACAAUUGAGUAAAAGUGUUAGAUCCAAUACAACAAGUACCAUCCCUAAAAAAAAAACAAAAAUACAAGUAACAAUAGAACUCAUUCGUUAUUCAUUCACGUGUUAAAAAAUUUAGCUGAAAAAACAGUGUACUGGAGGUGGAACCUGUUUUAAUAACAUUAAUAUAUAGAUAUUAUUAUAUAUGCAUUGAACCCUGUAUGAUUUAUUGAUAAAAAUUCCACAUUACGUUAUUUGUCAUUUAUGCUUGAAUAUAAAAAUACAAAACAGUGUUUUUUCUUAUUAAAUUUUUUAAUUAAUUUAUAAAGACUUUUAAUAACUUAGUGUUUACCAAUUGCACUCAUUAAUUCUUAAUUAUAGAAUAAUUGUAAACCCAUUUUAGAUCCUCCAAAAAUGAAGAAAGCUCAUUCUUAGGACAACACAAAAUGGAAGAAACUCAAGAUUGUUGGCAUAUUGGUAGACUAUUUCUGUUUGACAAAUUCAAUAAUCUAGUUUAUAGUUUAUAAGUCCGAAUGAUUAAAAAAUAUAUGUUUCAUAACUGUUUUUUCAUCACAAGUUUUAUAGUUUAUUUUAUUAGUUUGUAGGUUUUUUUUUAGACUUUAUUCCAAAUGUGGAAUAACGUUUGAGAUUAUAGUUUAUCCUUUAUAAUCUAUAUUAUAUAUAAUGAAAAUAGGGGGAUUUUAGGCUAUCUUUUUUGUUAUUCUAAUUAUAUCCUUAAAUAAAAAGAAAUCAAAUAAUGUAAUAUUGUUGGUGUAAUUAAAAAAAUAAGAAUUUUUGUUAUAUUAUUGUUGUCAUUGAGAAAGAUAAAUAAAUAUAGUUUGUUGAGUUUGUUACAUUUGAAAGUCACAUAUAUUUAUACUUAUAAUUUCAAUCUAUAUCAAAGAGUUUAUAUAAAAUAUCGGUUGUAAUUUACAAGCAGAAUUUCUAUAAAUUAUCAUAGAUAAUCUAUACACGUUCACGUAAUAAAAAAAAGCAGAAAGAUGCGCACGUAAAUGCCCGUCUUUGCACUAGUUUAUUAUAAAAAAAAUGCUAAAAUGUUCAGUUCUUUUGGUCAUACUGCACAAAUUAUUUGGUAGCUUGACAUAUAUGUUACUGAUGUAAACUUCACUCUCACUUUAAUUAUGUUACUCCACAGUCCUCUAAAAUUGUGUUUCUCUUUUUUCCCUAAAACUUCUCUUUUGGAUUAUUCAAUCCGAAUUAAGUUGUUUCUGGUUUGAAAUAUAUAAUUUGAACUGCUUCUAUAUAUGUUUUCUCUUUAUUUUGUGGCUAUUUAUUAAUUGUGUGUAUAUCUGAUUUUAACACUUUCAAAUAUUGAUCGCAUGGGCUGUGUUAGGAAUGAUAGAAUUUCCUUGACUGCAUCUUCUAGGUGAGAGCAGACGUAGAAGAAUGUACUAGAAAGGAGAGUGGUCAAGGGCAGGGGCAUGGUCCGCAAUGCUGAGACGCAGAGAGGUCGUCAGUUCCUAGACAUUAGUGGAAGUUUAGGGCGCAUCGGGGAACAUGUCAGAAAUAUUUAACUUUUUUAGUGAAUAUUUUUUUAAUUUAAAAUUUUUAAAGAGUGUCUCGAAGAUACUCGUUGGCAAGACUGAUAAGUUGUAGUUAAUGGUGUUUUUAACAUUUAAAUUCAAUAAUAUUUACGUUGUUUUAGUUUUAAUUUAGAUUCAUUUUACUGGAAAGCAUUAGUUUUUGUUUUCAUAAUCAAAAAUUUGAAGAACAGUGUACCUGGAUCAAGAGCGAGGAUAAAGAGCCAUAAAGCAACAACAUGGAUUGUUCGUGGUUCCAUCUGGGUUGUGCACUUCUUAAAAUGUCAGAAUUUCAAAAGUUGAAGUACAAGCACGACCGUGCCCCCCAACACCGUAGAAAUAAGCAUGAUUGUGCGCUUCAGAAGCACGACUUUGCACCCCUCAAAACAUGUCAAAAGUUGGAAAGGUGAUCAUGACCGUGUACCCUUGAAGCAUGACUGUGCACCCUUGAAGCACGACCGUGCGUCUUGUGCAGAGAAAAUAGUUGUUACAACCUUUUAGAAUUCUUUAGUUUAUGGCUUGUAACUCGUUUUUAAUAUAUUAUAUGAGGCUCUAGGCUAUAAAUAUACCUCACUUCUAAGGAAAAAAGAAUCUUAGAUACUUGUAAACUUACUCUAAAGUUGAAAACAUAAUUUUGCAAUGUUCUAAGUUCUUUGUUCUUUAUUUUUCAUUUCUUUACAUUUGUGUUCUUUACUCUUCUGUUCUUUACAUUUUAAGUUAUUUACUUUCAUGUCUUUUACUUUCUUGUCUUUAUAUAUUAAUCAUUCGUCUACUAUGAGAGAGAGAGAGAGAGAGAGAGAGAGAGAGAGAGAGAGAGAGAGAGAGAGAGAGAGAGAGAGAGAGAGAGAGAGAGAGAGAGAGAGAGAGAGAGAGAGAGAGAGAGAGGUGAUAUUAGUGCAGAACACAUAGCAAAAGAGAAUGAAAAAAGAAGAUCCCGAUCCUUUUCUAAAGGAGAAUCAACCAUCUAUAUAACGACAAAUUUAAACCCAUCAAGUACAAAAAAACGAUCAAGGUAAAAAAUAUAAACGGAACAUUGAACAAUUUUAUUAAAUUAUAAUAAACUUCAAAGGGUAAAAUUGGUUUUUAGAUAAACAUAUAAGGGGUUACCAAAUAGGGUUACAAGUUAUAAGCUUGUGAAGAAAACGUCUUGGUUGACUUCAAUGACUAAAGUAACUAAGACCAAAGAGUGAAUGAUUUAAUUCGGAUUUUAUCUAAGUCAUUGACCAAAAUUACAUCUUGUUACACUUUUAAGGAGAAAAAUGGUUGUUUUCUCAAUAAUGUUUUCCAAUAUUAAAUUAAUGUUGUUUUCUGCCUUAGGGAUGUUACCAAUUUGUUAUGUUGGAGUUACCUUUAGUGCUAAGAAACCUUUAGACCAAUAAAAAUAUUUUGAGUCCCUUUUAAAGUGGUAAAUACACUAAUAUAAAGUCAUUGUCAAUUGAUGUUAGGACUAUUUAUUAAUAAUGCAAUAUUUACUUGUUGUUCUUUGGUAGACACUUAAGGUGCGUUUGAUUUGUUAAAAAAUGAAGGACAGAACAACUCUAGUUGUCCAGUGUUUGAUUUGUAAAACUGUUUUAGGUACAAGACAAUUUGGAGGCAAGGGACAGGACAAAAACUCAUUUUUGUCCCUCACCAACCCACAACACAACUUUUUGUCCCACGUACAAGUUGUCUAAAAUACCAAAAUAGCAUUUUGUCCCUCAAAAAUCGUAUAAAACAAAAAAUUACUCAAUGCCAUAAAAAAUUUGUCCUGUCUUGUUCUGCCUUGUGUUGUACUGUUCUAUCUUGUACUGUUUUGUCCGGUACUUGCUGUUUUGCAAACCAAACACACCCUUAGAGGUCAUUUUUGUGGACUGUAGGUACCUAAAGCUCUAUGAACUUGGUUAUAUCAUAGAUAACGUCGUAUUGGAAAAACGGAAAUGAAAGACUCAUCUCUCACUCUACUUAGGGCUAGCCAAUUGUCAAACGCCAAUUGUCAAACUUGGUUACAAUUAAUUUUUUUUGGAAAACUUAUUUUGAAUUUUCUACAUGUCAUGAAAAAUUCAAAUUUCUGUUUUCUGAUUAGAAGAUCAAUAAACGGUUCAAUAUCAUCACAAUCUCCAAAUCAUAACUUCAUUCAUUUGCAAAUCUAGAGCACAUAUAUCACGAUUUUCUAUCAUGAUUUGCAUUGAUAUAAGUAAGUAUAACACAUAUAUUUUACUCUUAACUUAGCCAUACAUUGCGGAUUUACUUAGUAGAUAGAGUAAUGUUUUUUUUUAAACAACAAAUUUUAUUCAUAAGCUAACCCAACACAAGAAGUGAAGAGGCUAGAGGAAACACACAAGACAACAGAUACAUAAAGACAACUAAACCACCCAAACAAUCCUUAAUACAAUAGAAUAACAUCAGAAAAACCAGCCACCUAAACUUCCUAGUACCAUGAAACAAUGUCAGGUCGCGUUGAUUUUUAGGCUGGAGGGCAAUGUUUGUUUCGGAAGUUCUCGACUUUCUUCAACAAAGGGUAGUGCUUUUUGCAGAAAUCGGGUAUAUGGGGUAUAUGUACUGGUUUAUCUUUUGGGAUUAAAUUUUUGAUUUUUGGGAUUAAUGCUUCAACUGCGGGACCAAAGCUAACAGCAUCAGCAAAAUGUUGUUGAGGAGCAAGCAUAAAAGCAGCAAGGAAUAACACUAAUAAGGAUAAGAAAAAUGAAUUAGCCAUUUUAAGAAGUGAUAUAAUUAUUAGUGUUGGUGCAUAAUACAUAUGGAGUAUACUGGUUUUAUACUAGUUAGAGACUCAAUGUGAGUUUAUGGUCGAUCUAAGUCAUUUACUAAAUGUCAAAAUUGUGUAUGAAUUGAAUUAUUCAACAAUGUUACAAGUUCCAUGUAGUUGCUACUAGUUUAUGAAUUGAAUUAUUCAUUCGAUUCUCCGCGCGACUCAGGUGCAUGCCGAAACCGUUUUAAUUAUAUGAGCAAAUUAAUAAAUAAAUGGGUUGGUGCUUAUGAUGGUGCUAAGCGUUUGCAAGGAAGCGGUUGGUCGAAAGAUGAUGUUUUGGAAAAAGCCCAUGAAUUAUAUGUGAAACACCCCGUUUUCCCAACUUGAAUUUUUUUGCAUAAAUCAGAGUAAAACAACUAAACAGGAUGCUGCACUUCUUUCAAAUCUGAAUAUAGUAAAAUUACUAAUUAUCUCAAUCAUCAAAUUAAAUCUUAUUGCAGCGGAAAUUAGUUCAACGUUUAAAACAACCUUGGCACAAAGGCCUCAAUGUAAAAUCUCAUAAAAUUAUUCCAACAACAUGUUCAUAAAACUUCAUAAAAUAAUACGUAAGGAACGUAAAGCAACAACAAAAUUCUCAUCCCGUUACGUAUCAGAGCACCUAAGACACACGUGAGAGAAUCCACUCACGACCGCAACUAUUCUUGGUUACCUGCAAGUUACUCAAUUGUGAGGGCAACAUUUCCAAGCAGAAGGGGUGAGAUUUCACAUUCAAUAAUAAUAAGCAUAUAAUUCAUCAAAUUCAUUUAACAACUUAAACUUCAUCAAUUAGUAACACUAACUCUUCGCAUAAAUACUUCAUUAAUUAAUAACAUUAACUCUUCCUAUAAGACUUCAUUAAUAACUCAAUCAACUUCUAAUCAUCAUUAACUUCAUAUUCAUCACAUUAUAUACAACGUCAUACAGCACGUAAUAAUCAAAUCAUAAACAUCAUCAUAUAAAAACCUAAUCAUCACAUCAUAAACAUCAUCUUAUAACAUCAUAUAGUUCACAUCAUAAACAUCAUCAUAUAACAACAUAAACAUCACAACAUAAACAUGAAAUAAGGUUAUAAGGUUGCACUCAAAAAGUUUUAGUGAUAGUCAACUAUGAGAAUAGGUCUAAUUACUGUUGAGAUACAUUCAUGUAAUCUUAUAGGAAACAUGAAAUACCAAAGAACAUCUUGUCCUUAGAAAUGAAUAGAGAAAUAGAUAUGGAAUGUUUAGGAUUUAACUUUAUGAUGAAAACCGCAAUCUCAUGACGCAUUUUUAUAUCUAAAUUUUAAUCAAAAAAAAUAAUUGCACUUAAUCAAUUUAUUUUUUUCAGCUAAUCAAAACUAAAAAUUAGAUUAGUAUUUACUUAAAGUCCAUGUGAAUCGAUAUUUUACUAGAACCGUACACUUGCGUAAACCUAUCAAAGACCCUAUUGAUGUAUAUGGAAUCGUAGUUACCUAUCAAAGCUACAAAAAAAAUUAGAUCGGAAUUGGGGUCUUUCUGACCAUUCUUGAAGUCGAAGGGGGUUCGUUUACUGGAUGUAGCAUCGAAGGCUUGAGUGAAGAGUUCGAAGGGGUGCACGGGUAUUCAAGGAUCUGAAGAUUCAAGAAGCACCAAAUUUAAGGGUUACUUGGAGUUUGGGGGAGUGUUUUACAUAGGAGUUGAAGAAUUAGGUUUUAAUUUCAAGGAACUUUUGUAAACACAUUUGUAUUCAACUAUUAUAAAAAUAUCGGUGUUAUCUCUCUUUCCCUAUCCUCUUUACUUUUAGCUAUUGCAUGUGAUUAAUUGAAUAAUUUUUAGAAUAAUUGCUAGUGUUGAUCUAAGUUAUUUUUCAUUGAAAAUCAAUCUAAUUCAUUGAAUUAGGUUUCAUAUAAUUUGCUUAGAUCAAUUGAUUGAAAAAUCUAUUCAAUUCUUCAAUUACACAUGUAUUGUGUUUUUGAUUUGAUAACUUAGUAAUUUUGUUCAUGUAGGUUUGGUUUGAAAUUGUCUAUUGUUUUGUACAUUGUUCAAGGAAUAUUAAAGUUUGAUUGUAUAAUAAGAUUUGUAUCGUGAAUCUCUCAAUUCUAAGAUUAAGUCUCAUUGCACAUAUAUUUGACCUUUUGAUUCCUUGAUUGUCAUUGUUCGACCACGAAUCCAAUAGUCAAUUUUGUUGAGAGAGAGAGAGAGAGAGAGAGAUUGGAUGGACGGGUGAUAUUAGUGCAGAACACAGCAAAAGAGAAUCGAAAAAAGAGGAUCUUGAUCCUUUUCUAAAGGAGAAUCAACCAUCUAUAUAAUGACAAUUUUAAACCCAUCAAGUACAAAAAUAACGAGCAAGGUGAAAAUAUAAACGUAACAUUGAACUAUUUUAUUAAAUGAUAAUAAACUUCAAAGGGUAAAAUUGGUUUUUAGAUAAACAUAUAAGGGGUUACUAAAAAGGGUUACAAGUUUUUUUUUUUUUUUGAAAGAAGGGAUACAAAUUAUAAGCUUGCGAAGAAAAGACGGUUAUCAAACACAGCCUAUGCAGCUCAUGAAGCUGCCAUAAAAAUUUUAAUAGUGGGGGAUGUUUAAUGAAGAUUAGUAGUAGUGUUACGUUAUUCAUGGAGCUAUAGUUAUAAAUAAUUUUAAAGUGGGUAAUGUUUAUUGAAGAUAGGGAGAUCGAAGCGGAAAUGCUGAAAAAUGAUGAUGGAAAAAUAUAAAUCGAUAUUAUCUUUUAUUUUAGUCAGAAUUUAAAUUUGGUAUUUUUCAGUAUCCAUGUCGGCGAUUUUGACUAAUUUUGAUUAAGUAAACGUCUUAGUUGACUUCAAUGACUAAAGUAACUAAGAACAAAGAGUGAAUGAUUUAAUUCGGGUUUUAUCUAAGUCAUUGACCAAAAUUACAUCUUGUUACACUUUUAAGGAGAAAAAUGGUUGUUUUCCCAAUAAUGUUUUCCAAUAUUAAAUUAAUGUUGUUUUCUGCCUUAGGGAUGUUACCAAUUUGUUAUGUUGGAGUUACCUUUAGUGCUAAGAAACCUUUAGACCAAUAAAAAUAUUUUGAGUCCCUUUUAAAGUGGUAAAUACACUAAUAUAAAGUCAUUGUCAAUUGAUGUUAGGACUAUUUAUUAAGAAUGCAAUAUUUACUUGUUGUUCUUUGGUAGACACUUAGAGUUCAUUUUUGUGGACUGUAUGAACUUGGUUAUAUCAUAGUUAACGUCGUAUUAGACAAACGGAAAUGAAAGACUCAUCUCUCACUCUACUUAGGACUAGCCAAUUGUCAAACUUGGUUACAAUUUAUUUUGUUUGGAAAACUUAAUUUGAAUUUUCUACAUGUCAUGAAAAAUUCAAAUUUCUGUUUUCUGAUUAGAAGAUCAAUAAACGGUUCAAUAUCAUCACAAUCUCCAAAUCAUAACUUCAUUCAUUUGCAAAUCUAGAGCACAUAUAUCACGAUUUUCUAUCAUGAUUUGCAUUGAUAUAAGUAAGUAUAACACAUAUAUUUUACUCUUAACUUAGCCAUACAUUGCGGAUUUACUUAGUAGAUAGAGUAAUGUUUUUUUUUAAACAACAAAUUUUAUUCAUAAGCUAACCCAACACAAGAAGUGAAGAGGCUAGAGGAAACACACAAGACAACAGAUACAUAAAGACAACUAAACCACCCAAACAAUCCUUAAUACAAUAGAAUAACAUCAGAAAAACCAGCCACCUAAACUUCCUAGUACCAUGAAACAAUGUCAGGUCGCGUUGAUUUUUAGGCUGGAGGGCAAUGUUUGUUUCGGAAGUUCUCGACUUUCUUCAACAAAGGGUAGUGCUUUUUGCAGAAAUCGGGUAUAUGGGGUAUAUGUACUGGUUUAUCUUUUGGGAUUAAAUUUUUGAUUUUUGGGAUUAAUGCUUCAACUGCGGGACCAAAGCUAACAGCAUCAGCAAAAUGUUGUUGAGGAGCAAGCAUAAAAGCAGCAAGGAAUAACACUAAUAAGGAUAAGAAAAAUGAAUUAGCCAUUUUAAGAAGUGAUAUAAUUAUUAGUGUUGGUGCAUAAUACAUAUGGAGUAUACUGGUUUUAUACUAGUUAGAGACUCAAUGUGAGUUUAUGGUCAAUCUAAGUCAUGUACUAAAUGUCAAAAUUGUGUAUGAAUUGAAUUAUUCAACAAUGUUACAUGUUCCUUCCAUGUAUUUGCUACUAGUUGAUGAUCAGUCCCUACCUAUCCUUUAAUUUUCCACACAACAAGACCAUUCAGUAAUAUUGGCUCUAUCUCUCCACUUGUUUGCCCACCAUGGUUUAGCUGAAAAAACAGUGCAACUUGUUUCAAUAACAUUAAUAUAUAUAGAUAUUACUAUUUAUAUAUGCAUUGAACCCUGUAUGAUUUAUUUAUUUAUAAAAAUUCCAAAUAGGUUACUUUAUUUGUCAUUUAUGCUUGAAUAUGAAAAUACAAAACAGUGUUUUUUCUCAUUAAAAUUUUUACUAUAAAGAUUUUUAAUAACUUAGUGUUUACCAAUUGCACUUACUAAUUCUUAAUUAUAGAAUGAUGAUUAAAAAUUGUAUGUUUCAUAACUGUUUUUCAUCACAAGUUUAUAGUUCACUUCUCAGACGUUAUUCCAAAUAACGUUUGAGAUUAUAGGUUAUCAUUUUAAUUUCAUGUUUACCUUUAUUAUUUUGUUUAAGAUUUAUUUUUAUCCUUUUUAAUAUAUACUAUUUAUAAAGAAAAUAUAGGGAUUUUGGGCUGACUUUUUUGUUAUUCCAAUUAUACCUUUAAAUAAAAAAAAAUCAAAUAAUGUGAUAUGGUUGGUGUUAAUAAAAAGAUAAGAAUUUUUGUUAUAUUAUUGUUGUCAUUGAGAAUCAUAAAUAUUGUUUGUUGAGUUUGUUACAUUUGAAAGUCACAUAUCAUACUUUUAAUUUUUGUCUAUAUCAAAAAAUUUAUAUAAAAUAUCGUUUGUAAUUUACACGCAGAAUUUCAAUAAAUUAUCGUAAAUAAUUUAUACACAUUAACGUAAUAAAAAGAGCAGAAAGAUGAACAUGUGAAUGCUCGUCUUUUCGCUAGUUUAUUAUAAAGAAUAUGCUAAAUGUUUGGUUCUUUUGUCAUACUACACAAAUUAUUUGGUAGCUUUAUAUAUAUGUUACUAAUGUUAAUUUCACUCUCACUUUAAUUAUGUUACUCCAGAGUCCCUCUGAAAUAAUGUUUCUCUUUUUGCCCUAAAACUUCUCUCUUGCCAUCCAAAAUUUAAAACUCCCAUAUUAUAUGAUUCAUGAAGAUUUUUUGCUUCAAAACAUUGAUCAGGUCUUUUCAAACACGGACAACAAGGUAGGGUAUCAUUCCUUCCCUUUAGUGUUAUUUGAAUCUUUUUUUUUUUUCUUCUGUAAACUAAAACCUUAUAGAUUAUAUAAUAAUCUGAAUCAAGUUGUUCCUGGUUUGGAUUAUAUAAUUUGACAUGCUUCUAUAUAUAUGUUGUUUUGUUAUUUUGUGGAUAUUUUUUUAUUUUUUUUAGACAAAAGAGGAAUUAAAUUAAAAUAGAAAAGGAGGUAUAAGAUUGGGGGCAAUGACCUGACCAGUAAACCACAAAAUCAAAAUACAACAAUUUCAGUACAAAGUGGUAUACAACGAACACAACCCUAAACAAUCACUACUACGGACAAUUCAGCGAACCCACGUAUGAGCGCCAAACCGAAUUGCAAAAAAAACGUAGAGUGAGUAUUCAGAACUUCUAAAUAGGCGUAUGGAUCGACUGCCAACACAAAAACGAUCCAAGAUCAAGCAGCUCCCAUCAAAUAUCAGCAAGCAAUAAACGCCCUUUCGGGCCAACCAUUCCAGUCGUAGUUCAGUUCGAGGGAUGAACAAACGACAUAAAUGUAAAGCAGUCCACUGACAACGCAUAAAGCAACCGUAGCAGAUAAAGUCCUGCAGGUACGACAUCAACAACUAUCGUCAACCAGAGCGUCUACGCACUUAGCCCUUUCGUGCAUAUCAGGCGAAACAAGUCUUGUUGAAUCCAGAUCGAGGGAUGGUAUCCAACCAAACAUCGCACAAAUGAACAGAACCAUAACCAAAUCUUAAAUCCAGACAAACCAAAUUCAAAAUUUCAACUAAACCGGAUAGCCAGAAUAAGACCACCACCAAUCUUCAUCUUCCCGAAACAACAUAAAACACCAUUCGAUUCUUCAUGGUCUUCUUCUUUCAAACUAGUGCGUCUUCCUGGAACCGCCAUUGAUGUGAAAUUCGACUAUCUUUGCCGCCGCUUCAACUUCAAACUACUAUGCCAUUGACGCUUUUAAUUUAGUGGGAGAAAAAAGAAAAAGAUCGAAAUGAAAGUAGAAGAAGAAGGUUUGGUGUGUGUUUUUGAAGAAGAAGACGAAGAAAAAAAAAAGUUUGUGUUGUUACGUGUGAGAGGGUGUGGUGGUAAGCUUGUAUAUGAGAGAGAAAUAUAUGUCUAGAGUUUUGAUGUCUAAAGAAGACCACAAUUAAUGUGACAUUGGAAAAUGAAAGGGUGGAUGCAUGGGUACCAAAAUCUCAUAAUUAUUUGUUGGAAGAUGCAUAAGGAAGAGAGAGUUAUCCCCAAUAAAUGAGAGUGGGGAAUAGUUGAAAGAAGUGGCUUUUACAAAGUAGAAUGCUGAUUAGAAUUAACAAUUAAGUGUAGAUGAUCAACGGUUGAUGUUGAAUGGCGCCUAAAUGAUGAUCAGCAUCCAAUGGCUUGCAAAAUUGGAGAGAAAAAUGAGGGGGGAAAAUUAGGGUUAAGGAUAGCUUCGGGGGAUAAGCUUUAGUAAGUAAGAUUGUCUUAUAUACUUACAUUAUUUUAGGUCUAAAUUUCAGAAACCAUUAUUUGACAAUUUUUUUGACAAUUUUAUCUCACAUACUCACAUUAUAUUUUUACUUCUCUUUUUGUUGUUUUGGUUUUUAUUUUCAUACCUAAUUUUCCUUGUAAAUCUAUAGUUGUCUCAUAAAUUAUCGUUAAAAUUGUUGUUCAAAUAACACAACUCUUAUUUCUAAUACUCAAAAUUUGUUCAAAUUAAGUUUUUAAAGAACUUCUAAUAAAGUCAGAUUAAAGUUUUUUUGAACUUUUUAAAUACUUAAAUUGAAUUUUCUCCAAUAUACAUAUUAGAGAAAGAAAAAAAAUAAUGAUAGGAGGGAGAUGCAAAACUUAUGUUUUCUUUCUCUAGAAACAUAUUUUGAGUUUUCAAUAUCAUCAAAAUCUCAAAAUCAUAAACUUUAUUUAUUUGCAAAUCUAGAGCACAUAUAGCGCGAUUUUCUCUCAUAAUUUACAUUGAUAUAACACAUAUUAUGUUCUUACCUUGCCCAAACAUUCGGGAUUUAAUUGAUGAUGUAAAAGACGUUUUUAAAUGUAGAAUAAGAAAGAUGGAAAACCUCCAAGCCAAAUUAUACACAAGAUAUACAAAUUAUACACAAAAAUUUCAAAUUUCAAUUUUCUCGAGAGUAUUCUUAAAUGAUCAAUCAAUGAUUCAAUAUAAUCACAAUCUCAAAAUCAUAAACUUUAUUUAUUUUCAAAUCUAGAGCACAUAUAGCGGGAGGAGAUUGUCUCGUGUGAUUUUUCUCUCAUGUGUAAUCCAGACCCUCCAUUAAAUAUGUGAGAUAAUGUGUUUGUAAUAUAAAAUGACCGAACGCAAGAUAAAUUGUUUUUUUCUAAACAAUAAAUUUUAUUCAUAAGCAUUCCCGUGAGCUUAGCUCAGUUGGUACGGAUAUUGCAUUUUAUAUGCAGGGGCUGAGGUUCGAACCCCAGACACCCCACUUCUCCACAAUUAAAUUGUGUGAGCUCUAACCACUAGACUACUUGACCAAGAAAAAAAGAAAUAUUCAUAAACUAACCCAACACAACACAAGAAGUGAAGAGGCUAUAGAGGAAAGACACAGGGUAACAAUACAUAAAGACAACUAAACCAAGGCUAAAAAGCCACAACACAUGUAAAUGGCUUAUCACAGCAGAAAACAAGGUAUAUCAAUAUCAUGUGUGACUACAAAACCGCCCAAACAACCCUUAAUACAAUAGAAUCACAGCAGAAAACACCCUUAGUAGAUAUUGAUAUGCCUUGCCGCGUUGAUGUUUUAGAAAUGUGCAGGUGGAGGGCAAUUACUGGGUCGGUUAUGCCCGUUUUUCCUCGAGCAGGGAUUUAAUGAGGGCUUUUGGGAUGGUUUAGGACGAGGGAAAGGUACUGGUUUGGAUGGAGUGAAAUGGGGUAAAUGCUUUAUGAUUCCUGGAGGGAGAUGUAUGGCAUCAACAGCAAAAUGUUGAGGAACAAACAUAAGAGCAGCAAGGAAUAACACUAAUAAGGAUAAGAAAAAGGAUUUAGCCAUUUUAAGAAGUGAUAUAAUUAUUAGUGUUGGUGCAUAAUACAUAGGGAGUUAAACUGGUUUUAUACUAGUUAGAGACUCAAUGUGAGUCUAUCGUCAAUCAAAGUUAAAAUUGUGCACGAAUUGAAUUAUUCAACAAUGUUACAAGUUCCAUGUAUUUGAUACUAGCUGAUGAUCAUUUAGUAUUAUUGGCUCUAUCUCUCCACUUGUUUGCGCACAUGGUUUACCUGAAAAAACAGUGUACUGGAGGUGCAACUUGUUUUAAUAGCAUUUUUUGUUGAGCACAUCAUGAGACAACACCGACAUCCUAACUAGAUUAGUAUUUCAGGACGCCUCCGUCCUAUGCCUGCCAAUCUCUAAAUUUUAUUAAAAAAGGGUAAAAAUAUAUACAAGGAGAGUGAGGACUAGGCCAAAAUCCUCAAUGAAAAAACCAAAGGAAACAAUAAAAAAUAAAGCCUACUGAAAUCUAUAAUUGGGUGAGCCAAUUCUGUCUCUAUAGAAGUCGAAAUGCAACUCUGCACGAAGCGUGUCUAACCAAACAGAACCCUGAAUAUCAUGACCCUCGGACAUUCCAAUAUAACAUCAUUGGGAAGAUGGAGGAAGACCACUCUUUCCAAGGAUUUGAUAAUGCGGCUUUCCGAAGACUUACUUCUUCAUAUUUAACGCGGCUUUUUUGAGAGAACUUGCGUAAAUCCUUUCUUUACGGCCCGUUGAUCGUAUUCUUUGAUUCUGGCCCAUAAAUCCAAGUCAUUCUGUACGUUUUUGCUAGUGUUUUAAUAACAUUAAUAUAUAGAUAUUACUAUUUAUAUAUGCAUUGAACCUGUAUGAUUUAUUUAUAAAAAUUCCAAAUAAAUUACUUUAUUUGUCAUUUAUGCUUGAACAUAAAAAUACAAAACAUUGUUUUUUCUCAUUAAAAAAUUUAAUUAAUUUAUAAAGCUUUUUAAUAAAUUAGUGUUUACCAAAUUGCACUCAUUAAUUCUUAAUUAUUGAAUGAUUGUAAACUCAUUUUAGAACCUCCAAAAAUGAAGAAAGCUCAUUCUUAGGACAACACAAAAUGGAAAACACUCAAGAUUGUUGGCAUAUUGGUAGACUAUUUCUAUCUGACAAAUUCAAUAAGCUAGUUUAUAGUUUAUAAGUCCGAAUGAUUAAAAAAUGUAUGUUUCAUAACCGUUUUUUCAUCACAAGUUUUAUAGUUUAUUUUAUUAGUUUGUAGCUUAUUUUUUAGACGUUAUUUUAAAUAACGUUUGAGAUUAUAGUUUAUCAUUUUUAUUUGUGUUUACCUUUAUUAUUCUGUUUAAGAUUUAUUUUUAUCCUUCAUAAUCUAUACUACUACCGUUUAUUCUGUUUGACAUUAUAGUUUAUUUUUAUUUGUAGUAUAUAUAAAGAAAAUAGGGGGAUGUUAGGCUAGCUUUUUUGUUACUCUAAUUAUACCCUAAAAUAAAUAAAAAGUCAAAUAAUAUUAUAUUGUUGGUGUUAUUAAAAAGAUAAGAAUUUUUGUUAUAUUAUUGUUGUCAUUGAGAAAGAUAAAUAUGGUUUAUUGAGUUUGUUACAUUUGAAAGUCACAUAUAUUUAUACUUGUAAUUUUAAUCUAUAUCAAAGAGUUUUUAUAAAAUAUAGGUUGUAAUUUACACGCAGAAUUUCUAUAAAUUAUCGUAGAUAAUCUAUACACGUUAACGUAGUAAAAAGAGAAGAAAGAUGCGCACGUGAGUGCCCGUCUUUUCACUAGUUUAUUAUAAAGAAAAUGUUAAAAUGUUCAAUUAUUUUGGUCAUACUGCACGAAUUAUUUGGUAGCCUGGCAUAUAUGUUACUAAUGUUAAUUUCACUCUCACUUUAAUUAUGUUACUCCACAGUCCUCUAAAAUCGUGUUUCUCUUUUUGCCCUAAAACUUCUCUUUUAUGUUACUCCACAAUCCUCUAAAAUCGUGUUUCUCUUUUUGCCCUAAAACUUCUCUUUUUGAUUAUUCAAUCCGAAUCAAGUUGAUCUGGUUUGGAUUAUAUAAUUUGAACUGCUUUUAUAUAUGUUGUUUCUUUAUUUUGUGGAUAUUUGUUAAUUGUUUGUACAUCUGAUUUUAACACUUUCAAAUAUUGACCGCAUGGGCUGUGUUAGGAACGAUAGAAUUUCCUUGACUGCAUCUUCUAGGUGAGAGCGUAUGUAGAAGAAUGUAGUGGAAAGGAGAGUGGUCAAGGGCAUGGGCAUGGGCCGCAAUGCUGAGACGCAGAGAGGUCGUCAGUUCCUAGACAUUAGUGGACAGUUACGGCGCAUCGAGGAACAUGUCAGAAGUAUUUAACUUUUUUAGUGAAGAUUUUUUUAAUUUAGAAUUUUUAAAGAGUGUCUCGAAAACACUCAUUAGCAAGACUGAUAAGUUGUAGUUUAUGGUGUUUUUAUCAUUUAAAUUCAAUAAUAUGUACGUUGUUUUAGUUUUAAUUUAGAUUCAUUUUACUGGAAAACAUUAGUUUUUAUUUUCAUAAUCAAAAUUAUGAAGAACAUUAUACCUAGAUUAAGAGCGAGGAAAAAGAGCCAUGAAAGAGCCAUAAAGCAGCAGCACGGAUGGUCCGUGGUUCCAUCUAGGUCGUGGAGUUCUUAAAAUGUCAAAAUUUCAAAAGUUGAAGUACAAGCACAACCGUGUGCCCCAACACGGUAGAAACAAGCAUGAUUGUGCACUUCAGAAGCACGACUUUUGCACCCCUCAAAACACAACAAAAUGUCAAAAGUUGGAAAGGUGAGCAUGACCGUGCACCCUUGAAGCACGACCGUGAGUCUUGUGCAGAGAAAAAUAGUUGUUACAACCUCUUAAAGUUCUUUGGUUCAUGGCUUGUAACUUGUUUUUAAUAUAUUUGUCUGAGGCUCUAGGCUAUAAAUAUACCUCACUUCUAAGGAAAAAAGAAUCUUAGAUACUUGUAAACUUACUCUAAAGUUGAAAGCAUAAUUUUGCAAUGUUUUAAGUUCUUUGUUCUUUAUUUUUCAUUUCUUUACAUUUGUAUUCUUUACUUUUCUGUUCUUUACAUUUUCAGUAUUUUAUCUUCAUGUCUUUAUAUUUUAAUCACAUGUCUAUUAUGAUCAUAUGUUAGUAAACAAACUAUUCUAGUCUUGGAAUUGUUAGAAUAAUCAAUCUAAUGAUUGAAUGUUAAUCAACCCAAGUCUAGACUCUAUUUUAUAAGAAUCCAUUUUAUAAUCUAAUAUCAUCGUUACUAAAUUUUAUUUUAUAAUCUAAUAUCAUUGUUAUGAAAUUUUAUAACAAGUAUCAAACAAAGAACUGAGAGUUGAUGUUUGAUAUUGUUAUUUAAUCAUGUCUAAGAUAUCAAACGAAGGACCGAGAGGUGAAAUUUGAUAUUGGAAUAAAUGAGAUUGUAAGAGAUAAGCAAAAUAUGAAAAUAAUUUUAUGACUCUUAGGACAAUAAGGUUAUAAGGUUGCACUCGAAAAGUUUCAAUGAUAAUCAACUAUGAGAAUAGGUUUAAUUACUGUUGAGAUACAUACAUUCAUGUAAUCUGAUAGGAAACUGAUAGAAUAUGUGUUACUUAGUCAUGUAAUUUGUAUUAUUAAAAGAAUAUUAAUACGUAUUCAUUGUGUUAAUUAGUCAUUCAUUUUGUAUUCAUUAGUCAUUAAGAGAAUGAUAACAAUUUGAUGUAUAUAAUGCACUCAGAUUAUCAAUGAAAAUCAUUCAGCUAUUUUCCUAUAUGGUAUCAGCUAGGUUUUAGAUCCUCUCCUACUUCUUCUAGCCGCCCACCACCACCUUUUCUUCCCUAUACUUCCGUUAUAAACCGCCAUCCAUGGCUACCUCAACAACAGCUGAAUCAACCACUCUCUCAACAAAUUCCUCUCCCGUGACAGACACAUUUGUCUCAACGGCACCAUCAUCAAAAAUUCACUCGGCCUUCACUAUCAACAACGUGAAGUCUAUCAUUCCCGUAACCUUGCACAAUGGCAGAAUGCUUUUCAUUGAUAAUCUGAGUGCAUUAUAUACAUCAAUUUGUUAUCAUUCUCUUAAUGACUAAUGAAUACAAAAUGAAUGACUAAUUAAUAUAAAUGAAUACCUAUUAAUAUUCUUUUAAUAAUACAAAUUACAUGACUAAGUAACACAUAUUCUAUCACUCCCACGCAGUUGAUGCGGGAGGUUGUCGGACGCUGAGUCUGUCCCUAAAAUCUUGAAAUAAAACCAAUGGGAGACCCUUAGUGAAGAUAUCUACAAUUUGAUAGCGUGAUGGAACAUGUAGGACACGGAUGUCUCCACGAGCUACUUUUUCACAAACAAAAUGAAUGUCCAUUUCGAUAUGUUUUGUGCGUUGGUGCUGGACGGGAUUUCGGAUAGAUAUAUGGCACUAACAUCCUUAUUAUCUAAUCCUAAACUACAAUGCACACAACAAUUGCAAAACCCUAAUCCUUGGUUUUGAGCGGGAAAAUUGUGAUUUAACCACAUUUAAUGGCAUUUUUGAAUUUCAAAUCAUGUACCCUUUUGAAAUGUGUGCAUAUGUGCCUAAUUAAUGCAGAUUUUGAAAUUCAAAUAUCCCACCACUUGGAAUUGUGCUCGCUUCUUUCCAAGACAUGCAGUUACCCACUUCUCAAUGCAAAAGCAUCUGAACCAAACAAACCUAUUUCCUUGCAUUUUGCUCUUUCUCCCUCUCUCUCACUCCCCUCUCACGCCCAUUUUUCUCUAAUCAGAAAAGGUCAACGAUUUUCAGUCCCUCUUCUCUUCUCUCUCACUCCAGUUUUCUCUCAAAAAAAAGCCUCUUCUCUUCUCCCACGUUAUUUUUUUCUUCAUUUUCUAACAUUCUUCUUCAAUUCUCCAUCUCUCUCUCUCAUUGUUUCUCGCGUAGCUCUUCGUGUCUUAGUUUGGGUGUUCUCUUCAUCGCCGGUCAGCCUCACCAAGGCAAUAAGCAUCUUCAAGUUUUAUUGAAAGAGAAUGCUUCUAUGCAACAAAAUUUUCAAGACCUUCGAUCCCUCGGUAUGCGUUUUCAGUUUCGUUACGUUUUGAUUGAUUUUGAUUUCGCGAUUAGGAUUUUGGUAUCACCGGUGUUGUUUUGAUUGAUUUUUCCGAUUUGAUAGGAAAGGAGCUUGAAGAAGGUGGAGUUCUCAGUGAAUCGGCACUGUCGCGGAAGGUUUUUCUUUUCAUCAACGAUCUUCUCUCUCAUUCUCUCUCAUUCGCUGCUCUUCUACUAAGCUUUGAUUGUGGAACGUAUGAAGGCAGAGUGACAUCUGAUAACGAUCAGAAUCAAGGCUACUAAGCUUAGAUUAUGGCUUCUAGGGGCAGAGGAAAAUGAGGAAGAAAAAGCACCAUCAAUUACAAUCUGCUCUACAUGUAUAAUGUUUUCCGUAUUCGAAUUAUUUCAAAUUGCAAGUAAUUUAAAUUGAGUUUUAAGGUAGUUUUCUUUGACUGCAAGUAUAAGGGGCUUAUUUCACAAGGUUAUACUUAGAUGUGUAUAUUCACUAUUGAAGCUUAUUUUGAGUUUCCGUGAUGACUUACUUUAUCGAAAUCACGGUGUGCCGCCGCGAUUUAGAAAAAGUUAUAGGGUGCAGCUUUUACAAUAACUAAAAAUUAACUAAUGAUUUGCCUGAAGUUUCUAAUUCUUUUUAUUGGUCCGAUUACAGUCCCUCUCUGAUGAUUUUCUACAACUAUCAGAUUUGAUUGAAUCAACUAAGGUUAAUUAUUUUGUCCAUAAUUUUUGCAAGAUAACUCUUCAGUCUACUGUUUUAGGUCAAAAUUAAUUUAUUUUGUGUAUAGAACAAUAGUUAUGCAGACCACCCAUUUCAAUAGGAUAAUGUCAAAAUUAAUUUAUGCAGACCAUCCAUUUCAAUAAUCAAUAAUGUUUUUUUGGGUUUGUUUGUAUAAUAGCAGGUUUUUUAAGAUUUGUUUUGUGUAUAAUGUGUCAUUUCACUCCACGUAGCCAAUCUUAGUGUUUGUUCAUGAAUAGAAAGUGGCUCAUAAAACAAUUUAAGGGUUCGAUUGUUCUAUAUUAUCUUUGCUCAUCUCUCUUAGUGUUUGAAAUUAGUUCAAAGAGUGGUCUAAAAAUUCUGCUAACAUAUGAGGAUGACGCUUGCAUUGAUAGUUUUUUUUUUUAAAAAAAAAAAAAAAAUCGCAUUGUAUACACAUAAAUUCCUUGAAAUAUAAUUGUAUACACAACGUACACUACAUACGAGGUCAACUUUACGUCGCAAUAUCCAAGGUGACCUCCAGGAAUGGGUUGAAGAUUUUAAUGAAUGAUGAUAAUAGUAAUAGCAUGAAUAGCACUUCAAAUGUAGUUAUAAGGAGAUUUUCUGCAAUCUACCGAUUUAAGGUCUUUUUUAAUGUAUUUUUUUUAGAAACAAUUUAUUUUGUACCGCAAGCAUAUUUAAUUUCAAUACAUUUUGUAAUAGCAUAUUUUAUUUUGUACAGCACGGGUGGAUGGUCUAGUUAUCACAAUAAACUAAACUAGCCUUGUGAAUGGGGAAAUGUAAUUCCAAAAGCAAGUUUCAUAACCAACAAGAUUCAGAAACCGCAUUGGAACCCCUCGAUAUUCUGCUUCAGCACUUGAACGAGAUAAAGUAGGUUGUCGUUUGGAAGACCAUGAGAGUAAGUUGUCACCAAGAGAUACACAGCAACCAGAGGUGGAUCGUCAGGUAUCUAGGCAACUUCCCCAAUCUGCAUUGUGUAAACAAUCAAUGAUGAUGUAGAAGAAGAGUAAAGUUGCAGUCCAUACUCGCGUGUGCCCUGAAUAUAUCUCAGGAUGCGUCAAAGGGUGUGCAUGUGAUCAUCCAUUGGAUUGUGCAUAAAUAAACAUAUUUGUUGCACUGCAUAAGAAAUGCCAGGCCUUGUGAAGGUGAGGUAUUGUAGGGCGCCAGCAAGGCUGCGAUAUAGAGAAAGGUCUUCAAAUGGGGUGCUAGUUUUGGCUCUCAUCUUUGGUUUAGUAUCAACCGUUGUAGGACAUGGUUUACAAGAAGCCAUUCCAGCACGAUCAAUAAUUUCUUCUGCAUAUUUUUUCUGAGACAAAAAUAAGCCACCAGGAUGACGUGUGACAGCAAUACCCAAAAAAUAAUUCAACAAUCCCAAAUCUUUCAUAGCAAACUCGGAACUAAGGAGUGAUAUGAUAGACUUUCAAAGGUCGUCAGAGGAAGAGGAAGCAGUAAGAAUGAUAUCAUCUACAUACAGUAUGAGGUAGGCCAAAAGGUGGGUUUUUCCUAUAUGGUAUCAGAAAAACUCUGCUUCCCGGAACUCUGGCAGAGGUGGUCGAAAUGGUACUGGUAAUUAUUGAUCUAUAACAAUAACCAUAUACGAAGACUACCUCAAAAAAAAAAAAAAAAAAAACGUACGAAGGAGAAUCAACCAUCUGGAUAAUACAUAUCCUUAUUUUAUUUAUUUGAAUUUGAAUGGCAACCACCAAAGCCACAUAUAGAAAGAAUAUUUUCCUACCAAUCGUACAUGAUGCCCAUAACAAAAGAUAGGUUCCAUAAUAUGGCCCCAUAAUAUCCUUAUCCUUAUAAUUAUGGUUCAGAAAAUAAAAAACCUCGUUAAGUUUUAGGAUUAUUUUAAGUUGAUAAAUAUUAACGAGUAUCUUCAGAGCAUUUUUCAAACAUCUAAAGUGGUAAGAUUUUAUGAAAGUUGAGCAUUUAUUAUAUUGGAAAUUGAAGUCUUUACAUUUCUUUUAAAAAUAAUUUUUUCAUUAUAAAUGCUUAAAAGGUGCUCCAUGGACAUUCAUUAACAGGACUCUUUUAAAUUUUAGAAUGUUAGCAUUUCCCUAAAACACAUGUUAAAGAUAGAGAUAUAUUAUGGCCUCUCACGGUAGCACCCGCCUACGUAGCGAGUUUAUGGUCAAUCUAAGUCAUUUACUAAAUGUCAAAAUUAUGUAUGAAUUGAAUUAUUCAACAAUGUUACAAGCUCCAUGUAUUUGCUACUAGUUGAUGAUCACUAACUAUCCUUUCAUUUUCCAUACAACUAGACCAUUUUUUUUUAGUAUUAUUUGCUCUAUCUCUCCACUUGUUUCCACAAAUAUGAUUAAUUUUUUUCGAAAAUUUUGUUUUUUUAAAUAUGAUAUUAUGGAAAACAAAAUUCGAAAAUUUGAAUAUAUAUUAAUCUUUUCCACAAUUUUUUUAAAUAUUUCCCGAUUAUUUUUAUAAUUUUUCCAGAUUUUUUUCAUUAUUUUUUAUUUUACCAGAUUUUUUUAAUCAUUAUUAAUUUUUACAUUUUUUUUUUAAAUUUUUCAGUAUUUUUUUUAAUCAUUAUUCGUUUUUUAAAUUUUUUUAUUUUUAUUUUAAAAAAAUCACAAAUGCCACGUGGCGUUCAUUUACACGCGUGGCAUGAAAAAAAUUAAACAAAAAAAAAUUGACACGUCACUGCCACGUAGUAGAUUCUGCCGACACAUUGAGGUGAGGGGUCAAUCCUGAAGAAUCUUCAUUUUUCAAGGGUGGAAUCUAAAAAAAAAAAAUUACAGGGGCUAAAACCAAAAGUGCAUUAUAUUACAAAGGCCAAAAACACUAUUAACACUAUAUUAUUACUUCUUCUUUUUUAUAAAAAUCCAAAUAAAAAUCAUUUGCAUUGCAGCCAAUUGGCCAAAUGCAACAUGACAAGCGCAAAAUUGCUCCAUGUUGACUUGUGAGAACUCUUGUUCUAGAUAGAGAACCUUAUAGUUUUUGUUGUCACAGAAAAUGUUAAACAACUUUUUCCAUGCAAUUUAUGCGUCUGAAUCGCGCUUGAUGAUGGUGAUGAGAAUAUAUUCUGAGGUGGUGUCAUAUAUCCAUUAUAAUACGACAACAUCAAAAAGCGGCCAAAGAUUGGGAUUGAUUUCUUUGAGAGAGGGAGUUGUUGGCUUAUUAGUGGGUGAGGGAGGAAUGAUGUGAUGAAAGACUUGAUGAACCCUUGCAUGAAUUUUAAAGAGUUCGAACCACGUAUUAUAUUGGACCCUUUUUUAUACUAAACGUAACCUUGAUGAAAUUGGUGAUAAUUGAAAAUGGUGGUAGAGGGAUGGAUAGGUGUGGAAGGAGUUGGGGUUGAAAUUGUCCUUCGAGUGGUAGUAUUUUUGGGGAUGAUUCGGCCCUGAUGGUGAAUGAAGGAGAAGAGGAACGAUGGCGCUGUAUUAGGUUUACGAGAGAAGGAUGAGUACCAACAACUUACUGAUACCAUGUAAGAAUUAUAAUAAGAUAAUUAUUAGUCGUGUGUCAUUUGCAUUGAGAGGAUCCGUUGACACUAGGUGUCAAACUUUAGUUUGACAUCAAAUCUCAACCGUCUAUUAUGUCUAAUCUAAUGGUCUGUGAUUAUUUAUUAAAUUAACUUGUGUGAUCUUUUUCCCAUGUCUCACCUGAUCCCACGCCGGCUGUUCUGCUCCAUCUCCUUCAACUUAUCAAAGUUAAUAUGGCCAACAAUCAAAUACACACACAAAUUAAUUCUUUUUUUUUUUUAAAGAAGAAGAAGCUAAAUUAGCCCACACAAAUUGGCACCGGAGAGAAUCGAUCCUGAGACCUCGAGGAGGAGCACACUCCCAGAUCCCAAGUCAAUACCACCAGACCAACCCAAAUGAUAAAUAAGGAGUUAAUUCUAAAUAAGGAGUUAUACAUAUAAUUACAUAUUGUUGACAUUAAUUGUUCUCUGUGGGGCAAGAUACUUGAGGUGUAAGUUUCAUAAGAUGCAAGUUCUUUUAAGUCUAAAUUGUCUUAUACUUACAUUAUUUUAGGUCUAAAUUUCAGAAACCAUUAUCACAAAUUUUUUGACAAUCUUAUCUCACAUACUCGUACUAUAUUUUUACUUCUCUUUUUGUUGUUUUGGUUUUUGUUUUCAUACCUAAUUUUCCUUGUAAAUCUAUAGUUGUCUCAUAAAUUAUCGUUAAAAUUGUUGUUCAAAUAACACAACUCCUAUUUCUAAUACUCAAAAUUUGUUCAAAUUAAGUUUUUAAAGAACUUCUAAUAAAAUCAGAUUAAGUUUUUUUGAACUUUCUAAAUACUUAAAUUGAAUUUUCUCGAAUAUACAUCUUGGAGAAAGAAAAAAAAUAAUUAUAGGAGGGAGAUGCAAAACUUACGUUUUCUUUCACUAGAAACAUAUUUUGAGUUUUCAAUAUCAUCAAAAUCAUAAACUUUAUUUAUUUGCAAAUCUAGAGCACAUAUAGCACGAUUUUCUCUCAUAAUUUACAUUGAUAUAACACAUAUUAUGUUCUUACCUUGCCCAAACAUUCGGGAUUUAAUUGAUAAUGUAAAAGAUGUUUUCAAAUGUAGAAUAAGAAAGAUGGAAAACCUCCAAGCCAAAUUAUACACAAGAAUAUAAAACAAAGCAUUUACUUGGUAGAUAAUAUUUUCUUUUUAAACAGCAAAUUUUAUUCAUAAUAAGAUAACCUAACACAAGAAGUGAAGAGGCUAUAGGGGAAAGACACAAGGUAACAAUACAUAAAGACAACUAAACCAAUGCUAAAAAUCCACAUCACAAAACCACCCAAACAACCCUUAAUACAAUAUAAUCACAGCAGAAAAACCUUAACCAAAUCAAGCAAACACACCCAGACCUUCCCCUAACACAAAAUCAAACCAGUUUCCAUCAACACCACAUCAAUAGACCCCUUAAAUAAUUGAACAAAAACCAGCCACCUAAACUUCCUGGUACCAGUAAAUUACAAUUACUUAGUAGAUAUUGAUAUGUCUUGUUGCAUUGAUGUUUCAGAAAUGUGUGGCUGGAGGGCAAUCUUUGGGUCGUAACUUCCACAAUAUCUUCGAGCAGCGAUUGAUUUUGGGAGUUUUGAAUUUUGGGAAGGCAGCAUCAACAGCAAAAUGUUGAGGAGCAAGCAUAAAAGCAGCAAGGAAUAACACUAAUAAGGAUAAGAAAAAGGAAUUAGCCAUUUUAAGAAGUGAUAUUAUUAUUGUGUUGGUGCAUAAUACAUAUGGAGUUAACUGGCUUUAUACUAGUUAGAGACUCAAUGUGAGUUUAUGGUCAAUCUAAGUCAUUGUGUAUGAAUUCAAUCAUUCAACACGUAGGUUCCAUGCAUUUGGAAAACUAGUUGAUGAUUAAAAAUGUUCAAUAUAUUAGGCUAUGAAUUGUUUAUGAAUUGAAUUGUUG